This is a long non-coding RNA of Mus musculus (house mouse), 1995 nucleotides long. RefSeq annotates it as predicted gene, 32196. Lineage: Eukaryota; Metazoa; Chordata; Mammalia; Rodentia; Muridae. The transcript is spliced from 4 exons. The record is from RefSeq and is a predicted model, not a curated record.
UCAGUACAGAAGAGGGUGUGCAAAGACUGUAAUAUUUACAGGGCAAGGAGGAAAAGACAGUUGAUGGCUCCAGGAGCCGGGCCAGCAACUGUCAUGACCUUGGCUGGAAGAAGCUCAUUCUGAGGCAACAAUGACUUCGCCCAUGUCUUGGUUAAAAAUAAACAUGUGUGCUUGUGAGACAUUAUGGACCACAGAUGAAAGCAACACCUUCCCAGGGGAAGUCUGCCAAAUACAAACAGUCGGGAUUCUUGGAACCUAGUGAAGCAAGCCCUCUCACCAGUCAAGGACCACCUACAAUUCCAUUCACAUACUCUUCCACAUACACUCAGCACAGUGCCUGGAACACAGUGGUCAUUCAUCAGAAGCUGGCCCAGUGAAGCCCUUCAUUGGCAUUUGUGUGAUUCCUACAAUAAAAAUAGUUCAGCCAACCAGAGAAGGGUAUGGAGAAAAAGAGAACUAAACAAAAUGUUCAACCUACAACAAAGUAUUGCACAUCUUGACUCCAGAGAUGUCCACGUCUUUUUAAGUUUGUCCUAAAUUUGUAACAUUUAUAAACAAACAUAUAUAACAUGUGUCAUACAUAUAUCAUGUGUCGAGAUGGCAUAUAUUCUGCAAGGUACAUAGAAAUAAUUGUGCCCAGUUUUCAACUUUACAACUUUGAUAGUUCCUUUUAAGUUUUUAUUGAAUAUUUCUUCCAGGCAUUGCUGAGAGAGCUUGACACUGGAGCCAAACCCUUUCAUACUAUGGCAAAGCAUACACACUGCAGCUGAGCAGAUGGUCUUUUGGUACCGUCUUUGCUCUUUAUAUGGCUACAUGAUCUUACACAAAUUAUUAAAUAGGUCUAUGCCUUUGUUUCCUCAUCUGUAAAAUACUAUGAUGAUAAUAAAGGCUGUUCAGAAGAUUUGAUGAGUAGAAGAAAUGAUUUACUAAGAAUAAAAUAUGUAAAUAAUGUCCAGUAAUUGCAAAACUGUAAAUGUGCUACCUAUUACGUAAAACAAACUUAAUUUCUAAAGCCUAGCAACUAAUAUUAAAUAAUGAAUUAAACAUUAUUUUUCCUUUAUGUUACUGUGACACGUAUCUAAGCAAUAGAAAUAUUAAAUACACUCUUCCCUAAUAAAGAGGAUCACCAAUGAUGGAGGCCUGACAUUGCUUUUGGCUUAGGACCAUCAAUGAUGAGAGACCUGGCAUUGCCCCAGCGAAAGAUGACUAACGGUGACCUGAGACUGAUUCUUUCUUGGUUCUGAGAAGGGAUGUGUCUUCUCUCUCCUUGAGAGAAUAGAUAGCUAUAGAGUAAAAUUUUCCAUGGCUUAUUUUGUCUUUGAGUUGAUUACCUACAACAUUGCUUACAGUCAACUCCAUUGGAAGUAAUGCUGGGAAGAAUGGGAAAAUGAAUUUGGCUUUACCUGAAAACAAAUUAUUACCUGAUCUUAAUUAACUAGGCUGGAAAGUUUAAUAUCCUGAUUUUUGAUUCCAGAGACUACUUAGAACUUCUGAGAUUGGUGUGUGCAUAAAACCUCAACAAUAAUAUUAACAGAAAAAAAACACACAGGAUUCUCAGUCAUCUUAAUUUCUUCUUUCUGUGAUACAAUACACUGUCAAAAGAAAAUCAGAGGGGAGGCAGGGUUUAUUUCCUCUCACAGUUCCAGGUUACAGUCUAUCACCGCAUGGAAAGACCAAUAGUAGACUCUUGAGAGAUAUGGUCACAUAACAUACAUAAUCAGGCACAGAGAACAAUGAAUGUAUUUGUGCUUGUGGUCUGUUUGUCUUCUCUAUCCCUAUACAGUUCAUAAUUUCCCUCCUAUAGAAUGGUAUCACCUAUAGUGGGCAGAACUUUCCAUGUCAAUUAAUUUAAUCAAGAUGAUCCUUGUGGUGGUUUUGAGGGACCCUAAGGGCUUUUCCAGUCCCACACCCUCCUUACAAUUUCCCUCUCCUGCCUGAGGUCUAGGCUAGGCCAAGUUCCAUUCUCCACUCACAGGAACAUUCUUGAGUAAAAGA